UUAGAUUGACAACCAUGAAUUUUGCUGAGACAAUAUAAAAUGUUGAUAUAGUUGACAUUUGUUUUGUUCUUUUUUCCGUUUUUGAGUAUUUUGCCAAUUCAGAGCCUCUUUUGAUGUCCUUUUUUUUUAAGGGAACUUUUUCCUAUGUUGUUUUCUAGAUCCUCAUUUUGUUGAAUAAGCGGACACAUAACUGAUUAGUGCUGUUGUCUCAAUGACAAUAUAAAAGGACUACCACUAUACAGAGAAAUUCCAAAGGACCAAUGUCUUUCAGACAAGAGUUCUGAUGGCACUAACUGCUAUAUGCCUUUAACAGGACCAAUGUCCCUUCGGAAUGUCAGGAUCUGUUUUAGAUUUCCAUUGUUGUGAGUAGAAAGAGAGAGUGCGCUUUAGGACCUUGAGUUUUACUCGUCCUCAUUCCUGAGAUGUCAAAUCCAAGGUGGCAUGUAGGAUCAGGUCCAAGACCAUGUGGAACUGACUUUCUAAGCCACUCUGUCAGGAGUCCAGUGCAUGAGGUCACUUGCAAGGUAUGUGCAAGCACAGAGGAAGUUUUAUUUUAUUUUACUUUAUUUUUUCAUUAUUAUGAUUUAACUUUCCUCUCGGCCAAAUGCAGGUACAUAUAUUUACUGUACAAAUGCAGUUUUGUGAUUUUGCACAUGUGUGGAAUCUGAGGCUUAACACUGCCUCAAUGAUCUCUUCCUCUUGUCGUCAUGGAGACUUUGUUUAGUCUCAUGACGCCUCCCUACUUACCCUCUAAGAGUGUUUAAAGUCUAGUAGCAAGCACAUGUUCACACUGGUGUUAUGAAACUGUCUCUGGACCGGCUGGUAGGAAACCUCAAUCUGAUUGGAUGUAUAUUCUCUGUCCUGCCCUGCUUUGUGUGAGCUUAUUCCAGACAUAUAGUAUAUAAAUAAAUAAUAUUACGACUUUUCAGCCACCUGAUGUAGGCUAUAUCCAGAGACUUACAUUAACAUAAUAUGUAUGUGAAGGAAAUAAGCCCUAAAUAUAAAAGGGAAUACAUUUGAAUUGUGGAAGGUUUCAGAUACUUAGGGAGGCCUUAGGUUCAUUCCCAGAACCCCAUUUAAAUUUGGCCUCGUCUUCUCCCAUGAACCUUAUUGCAUGAAAACAUCUGCACUUAACCAAAUCAGGUGUGUUGUAUAAACCUGAAUGUAAAUAUAAUAUUAUCGUGUAAUAUUUAAUAUUGACGAUGGAAUGGACUUUUUAUUUAUUUUUUUCCUGUCUGUGUAUUUCAGGUUUGUGUGCGUGUCAACGUACUGUAUGUGCCAAUGUUAGAGGACAGGAGUGUUCUUUGAAAAUUCCAUUUAUUUGGUACACAGGGUAAGAAGGUCAAUUGUUACUUUAAACCUGUGUAAGAAUGUGUACAUGAGAGGUGUUAAACUAUUUUACUGCAGAUGACAAGUAUGACUCAAUCAUUUAUGUACAUACAAUAUUAAACAGAAUGAAUACAGAGGAAUAUAAUGUUAAUAUUUAUUGCUUCUGAAACAUAAAGUGUCCUUGCUGUGGAUACCUGCUCAGCUCAUGGUUGUUUUUUGUCCCCUUUUAUUUAUUGACUCCAAUGACCC
Clupea harengus (Atlantic herring) is the source of this 1578-nucleotide long non-coding RNA. NCBI's taxonomy places the organism in Eukaryota, Metazoa, Chordata, Actinopteri, Clupeiformes, Clupeidae. The record is from Ensembl.